GCGGGCGUAGCUCAAUGGCAGAGCACCUGGUUUCCACCCAGGGUACGCGAGUUCGAUUCUCGCCGCCCGCU
This 71-nucleotide transfer RNA is filed under the name Actinomycetes bacterium. RNAcentral's name for it is "Actinobacteria bacterium tRNA-Gly". It matches the Rfam family "tRNA". Rfam says of the family: Transfer RNA (tRNA) molecules are approximately 80 nucleotides in length. Their secondary structure includes four short double-helical elements and three loops (D, anti-codon, and T loops). Further hydrogen bonds mediate the characteristic L-shaped molecular structure. tRNAs have two regions of fundamental functional importance: the anti-codon, which is responsible for specific mRNA codon recognition, and the 3' end, to which the tRNAs corresponding amino acid is attached (by aminoacyl-tRNA synthetases). tRNAs cope with the degeneracy of the genetic code in two manners: having more than one tRNA (with a specific anti-codon) for a particular amino acid; and 'wobble' base-pairing, i.e. permitting non-standard base-pairing at the 3rd anti-codon position. The record is from RNAcentral. Lineage: Bacteria; Bacillati; Actinomycetota; Actinomycetes. RNAcentral also lists the same sequence under 2 other names.